RNAcentral lists this ribosomal RNA (253 nucleotides) under uncultured bacterium. RNAcentral's name for it is "partial 16S ribosomal RNA". It matches the Rfam family "Bacterial small subunit ribosomal RNA", at positions 524 to 776 of the family's 1533-position model. The record is from RNAcentral.
UACGAAGGGUGCAAGCGUUACUCGGAAUUACUGGGCGUAAAGCGUGCGUAGGUGGUUUGUUAAGUCUGUUGUGAAAGCCCCGGGCUCAACCUGGGAAUGGCAAUGGAUACUGGCAAGCUAGAGUGCGGUAGAGGGUAGUGGAAUUCCCGGUGUAGCGGUGAAAUGCGUAGAGAUCGGGAGGAACACCAGUGGCGAAGGCGCCGCUCUGGGCCGUGACUGACGCUGAGGAGCGAAAGCGUGGGUAGCAAACAGG